UUGGUUUGCAGGGCUGAUGGGGGUUCGCGGACGCUGCAAUCAACUGCUGUCCGUUGGGGAGGAACGCCUUUUGAAAAUAGCUCUUUCUUCCACAAGAUGAGCAAUAAGCAUAAAGCAAAUUGCAGCAUUUCGACACACCAAUUGACGGGCGUAAAAGCCACUGACCAACUGAGCCGCCACACUCUAAGGGGGUGUUUCCACUUGGAUUAAAAGUCGCGGAUUAAGGUAUUUUUAAGCCGCGCCAAUCCACCGCUAAUCCGUCGGGGUGUUUCAUACAUCUGGAUUAACAAACGGAUUGAAGUACGACACUUGCUCAUUCCGUGCAUAAAAUACAAAAACGAGUAUUGCCAGACAUAUAAAAUACUAUCGAGUAUCAACAUGAAGGCCUUGUAGCACCUUUGAACGACACCCACGGUGUGGUGGAUAAUGCCGAACAAGAAGCACAAAGCUUCCACAAAACUAGGAACACCUACAGCCUUUAUAAAGGAUAACCUUCCAUCCUAUCACUCAGGCUUUUUAUGAGGCGUCGUGAAAAGUGUUAAUCCGAGAUUGUCAAUUUGAUACCUGGUGGCCACCAGGUAGCAAAAUUUUCGCACCAAGUUUGAGCUUUUAGUAUAGGCAGAAAGCUCGCAUUUCAUAGCAUAUUAAUCUACAAUUAAUCCGCGAAGCGCAUGAAUACGGACGGAAAUCUCUAACUAAUCGCGCCAACCUUAAUCCGCCUAAUCCGUCCUAAUCCGCGCGAUGUUUCCAUAUGCGACGGAUUAAGCCUUAAUCCGC
Molecule: long non-coding RNA, 777 nt
Filed under: Volvox carteri
Lineage: Eukaryota; Viridiplantae; Chlorophyta; Chlorophyceae; Chlamydomonadales; Volvocaceae
Description: long non-coding RNA (VCAR_LNC002986)
Source: RNAcentral